This 468-nucleotide ribosomal RNA is filed under the name uncultured bacterium. RNAcentral describes it as "partial 16S ribosomal RNA". It matches the Rfam family "Bacterial small subunit ribosomal RNA", at positions 28 to 507 of the family's 1533-position model. The record is from RNAcentral.
GACGAACGCUGGCGGCGUGCUUAACACAUGCAAGUCGAACGGAAAGGCCCUCCUUUUGUGGUGUGCUCCAGUGGCUCACGGGUCAGUCACACGUGAGUCACCUGCCCUUUCCUUUCGGAUCACUUCAAGAAACUGGGGCUAAUACCGGAUAUUCGCUCCUGCUGCAUGGUGUGGUUUGUCUCUUUUCGGCGGUUGGUGUUGGACUCGCGGCUUAUCUGCUUGUUGUUGGGGUAGUGGCUUACCAAGGCUGUGACGGGUAGCGGGCCUGUGAGGGUGACCGGCCACAUGGGGACGGAGAUACGGCCCAGAAGCCUACGGGAGGCAGCAGUGAGGAAUAGUGCACAAUGGGCGGAAGCCUGAUGCAGCAACGCCGCGUGCGGGAUGACGGACUUCUGGUGGUAAACCGCUAGCGCCUGUGACGAAGGGGGAGUGACGGUAAUGGGUAAAGAAGCACCGGCUAACUACGUG